This 820-nucleotide ribosomal RNA is filed under the name uncultured Flavobacterium sp. RNAcentral's name for it is "bacterial SSU rRNA". It matches the Rfam family "Bacterial small subunit ribosomal RNA", at positions 36 to 862 of the family's 1533-position model. The record is from RNAcentral. Lineage: Bacteria; Pseudomonadati; Bacteroidota; Flavobacteriia; Flavobacteriales; Flavobacteriaceae.
CUAGCGGCAGGCUUAACACAUGCAAGUCGAGGGGUAUGGUUCUUCGGAACCAGAGACCGGCGCACGGGUGCGUAACGCGUAUGCAAUCUACCUUUCACAGAGGGAUAGCCCAGAGAAAUUUGGAUUAAUACCUCAUAGUAUAUUGGUCUCGCAUGAGAUCAUUAUUAAAGAUUUAUCGGUGAAAGAUGAGCAUGCGUCCCAUUAGUUAGUUGGUAAGGUAACGGCUUACCAAGACUACGAUGGGUAGGGGUCCUGAGAGGGAGAUCCCCCACACUGGUACUGAGACACGGACCAGACUCCUACGGGAGGCAGCAGUGAGGAAUAUUGGACAAUGGGCGCAAGCCUGAUCCAGCCAUGCCGCGUGCAGGAUGACGGUCCUAUGGAUUGUAAACUGCUUUUAUACGAGAAGAAACACUGGUUCGUGAACCAGCUUGACGGUAUCGUAAGAAUAAGGAUCGGCUAACUCCGUGCCAGCAGCCGCGGUAAUACGGAGGAUCCAAGCGUUAUCCGGAAUCAUUGGGUUUAAAGGGUCCGUAGGCGGUCAGAUAAGUCAGUGGUGAAAGCCCAUCGCUCAACGGUGGAACGGCCAUUGAUACUGUCUGACUUGAAUUAUUAGGAAGUAACUAGAAUAUGUAGUGUAGCGGUGAAAUGCUUAGAGAUUACAUGGAAUACCAAUUGCGAAGGCAGGUUACUACUAAUAUAUUGACGCUGAUGGACGAAAGCGUGGGUAGCGAACAGGAUUAGAUACCCUGGUAGUCCACGCCGUAAACGAUGGAUACUAGCUGUUGGGAGCAAUCUCAGUGGCUAAGCGAAAGUGAUA